Molecule: ribosomal RNA, 726 nt
Filed under: Triticum aestivum (bread wheat)
Lineage: Eukaryota; Viridiplantae; Streptophyta; Magnoliopsida; Poales; Poaceae
Description: partial small subunit ribosomal RNA
Source: RNAcentral
AUGGCUCCCCAAGCUCCGACGUCGGCGGCCUCCCCGACCUCUUGGGAACCUCCUGCCGGUGUCCUCCCUGCUUCAACGACGGCGCCCACUCCGGCCUUUCGGGCGCCUCCUGCCGGCGCCACCAUCGGUACGACGACAGAGGCCGCCCCGGCCUCUCUGACUCCUUCUGACGGCACCACCACUGCUACAACGACGGAGGCCACCUCAGCCUGUUUGCCGCUGCCCUCUGUGAACGGCGCCGCCGCGACUUUCCUUGCCUUCCGCAAGGCCGACCCGGCCGUGCGGGGACGCCUGCAACUGUUGCGGCCCUCCACAACCAAGACGCGGGCCAGCUCCGAUCUGAGCCUGGCGACUCCGACGCCUACCACGCCACCUGUCGCUGCUGCCGAAGACGAUGGUCUUCAUGGAGCUCCCUUUGUUGGCCCCGAUUUAGGUGCAGCCCCCGACGCCGCUGUGCGGACCCCGCAGCCGCCAUUGGCCGUGUCGUGGGCUUCCCUCGCGGACAACGUCUGCAGCAUUGAUGAUGAAGACGAGCUCGCCCCGCUGACGCCGUUGGCUGCCAGGUGCUCCAGUGGGGUGAGCGAUCCGGCUGCCGCUGCUGUUGUCGCUACUGCUCCUGAGGCGUCUUUGGACCAGGGAUGGGUGAAGGUGGGGGGCCGGCGUCGUUCGGCGUUGCCGAUAUUGGCUCUGGCUCCCCGGCCUAUCCCUGCCUGGCUUCGCGGUUGA